RNAcentral lists this ribosomal RNA (215 nucleotides) under Vibrio parahaemolyticus. RNAcentral describes it as "partial 23S ribosomal RNA". It matches the Rfam family "Bacterial large subunit ribosomal RNA", at positions 1466 to 1676 of the family's 2925-position model. The record is from RNAcentral. Lineage: Bacteria; Pseudomonadati; Pseudomonadota; Gammaproteobacteria; Vibrionales; Vibrionaceae.
GGGGGGACGGAGAAGGCUAGGUGGGCCUGGCGACGGUUGUCCAGGUUCAAGUGCGUAGGCUUAAGAGUUAGGUAAAUCCGGCUCUUUUUAAGGCUGAGACACGACGUCGAGCACCUACGGGUGUGAAGUCAUUGAUGCCAUGCUUCCAGGAAAAGCCUCUAAGCUUCAGAUUGUAAGGAAUCGUACCCCAAACCGACACAGGUGGUCGGGUAGAG